AGCGAACGUUUGCGGCGGGCCUAACACAUGCAAGUCGAACGAGAUCUCGGGCUUCGGUCCGGGUGAAAGUGGCGCACGGGUGCGUAACACGUGGGUAAUCAACCCUCUGGAUCGGGACAACCCGGGAAACGUCGGGCUAAUACCGGAUACGUCGUCGGAGCUCUAGGGCUCUGACGGGAAAGGCCUGCAAGGGCGUACCAGAGGACGAGCUCGCGGCCCAUCAGCUAGUUGGUGAGGUAAUGGCUCACCAAGGCGAAGACGGGUAGCUGGUCUGAGAGGAUGAUCAGCCACACUGGAACUGAGACACGGUCCAGACUCCUAC
Molecule: ribosomal RNA, 322 nt
Filed under: uncultured bacterium
Lineage: Bacteria
Description: bacterial SSU rRNA
Rfam family: Bacterial small subunit ribosomal RNA
Source: RNAcentral